Sander lucioperca (pikeperch) is the source of this 1271-nucleotide long non-coding RNA. RefSeq lists it as uncharacterized. The transcript has 2 exons. The record is from RefSeq and is a predicted model, not a curated record. NCBI's taxonomy places the organism in Eukaryota, Metazoa, Chordata, Actinopteri, Perciformes, Percidae.
UGUUUCCAGUCAAAACAAGCAGCUGUUUUCAGCUAAAGCGUCUGAUAAACCUGCUUUGCGCUACAGCCAAACCCAAAACGACAAACAGACAAAGUUAGCAACUAACUGGCGAACAUUGUGGUGCAUUCAACAGCUAAAGAGCUAGAUAUUUCCUUCAGGAGUUGGUGGAGACAAAAACAGAGCUAAAAGAGAGUGAAUAUUGGACUUACUUUCACCAGGAGGAGCUGAGGAAGACCUGGUGGGAAGUCUGGGCUUGAGGAUGGACACAGGGAUGGAGUAAACUCUCUGGACCACCACCUCCACGUCCUGCCCCACAGAGCCAGCCUGGCCCAGCCCCUCUAUAGCUUCCAGGAGAGAAAGGCAGUGUCUUGUUAAAACUCCUGGACCUCCAAAAUUGCACAGAGCAUUGGAGGCCACAACCUGAAGGGAAGAUAGAGAGGGAAAUGAAACAUUAGUUAAUGUAAAUGAUGUAUUACACCUUAGAGCUGCAACGUUUAGUGAAAUAAUCAAUUAGUUGAUUGGCAGAAAACUGAUCUGCAAGUAUUUUGAUAACUCAUUAUUUAAGAUUAAAUGCCAGUUUCAGCUUCUCAAGUAUGAAUAAAUGCUGAGUCAGUUAAAUAUCAUAUGAUGAGACUUUCUUUGAGUUGUGGACUGUUAGUUGGACAAAACAAUACAUUUCAAGAGGUCAACUUGGAUUUGGAAACUAGUGAUAAGCAUUUUUGUUAUUUUGUUUUUUACUAUGUUCUGAUAUGAUAUAGACAAAAUUAUUAAUAUAAUGAAAAUAAUCGUUUGUUGCAUCCCUAUGCUCUGUGUACGUGUAUUACACAUAAACAAACAAGACUAAUUUCACUUGGCAAGUUUAUGCCAUCACACAGAAAUUUGCAUAGAGUUUGUUGUCAACACACAUCAUGGGAGUGAGCAGUGUUCACCUUUUCUUGAAGCUGCAUUAGAAACCUGUUUUAAAAGGAGGGCAUGGCUGAUGGUGCCAUGUUUUUCAGCCAUAAUUUAUUUGUAUUAACUUGAAGCAAACAGAGAUUUAGAUUCAAGAAAUCAAAGAUACAUUUAAACCCAAUUUUAAACUUCUAUCCCUGCAGUAGUGACUAAAUGCACCUGUUACUGACUGAUUAAAUCCUCCACUUAUUGUUAUUACUUUUGGUAAAAAAAAAAAAUCUGAUUGUGAAACGAAAGACACAAAAACAUGUUCGCACAGUUGCACCUGUGACUUUAUAUGAAUUUAUAAAAGAAUAAAUUCAUAUUACAUGUAUAAAGAA